Long non-coding RNA from Culex pipiens pallens (northern house mosquito), 4252 nucleotides. RefSeq lists it as uncharacterized. Lineage: Eukaryota; Metazoa; Arthropoda; Insecta; Diptera; Culicidae. The transcript has 5 exons. The record is from RefSeq and is a predicted model, not a curated record.
UAUGGAGCGAACUGUCAAAAACUGCUCGACUGCGGGUGCUCCAUUGGUAAGUUUUUAUCACAUUCUAUUCAAAGAAUUUAUUAUUCCAUUUACCCAAACCAUAGAACCGAAAAAUCUGGUCCAGUGAAUGAACUUUUAAACUGGCAGGACUUUUGGGUUCACUAAAAUGGCAACGAGUUCAAACCGGAAAGCUCGCUCCAAGCUGGCAGUCAGCGGCUGUGUUAACUCUGGAGAAUUUGGAAGCUGCUCAGUGAAGCCGAUAAAUUUUCCAAGUCCCGAAUUCUGAAUGGCAUCAGAGUCGCGGGUCGAAAUGAGCAGUUUGUUGCUGGCCGGUUACUCCACGGCAAUCGUUUCCACUUUCAUGUUGGUGCUGGAGGAGUUCACUUGUUACAGAUGGGCCACAGAGUGUAGAACCAUUGCUAGCUCACGAUGUGGCCAAUUUGUUCUUGGUUUGAAACACAAAACUUAGUUCCUGUUGAACAAGGAUCAGAUCAAAAUGACGAUUUUGGAUAAUUUUCGAAUGUUUUCGAGCACAGUUUGCAGAAGGUGCUGCACGCGUCAGCGAUUAAAGGCUUGGAACCACUUGAAUCAUACUUCGCCGAGUUGACGCGUCUCUGUAGCCGGGAUAGAUGUAGAAAACGAGUUUAGUUCAUGACCGGCGCAUCGUACUAUUGCUCGACACCCCGACGAAGAUUAUUAAGUACUCGUCGAGCAUAGUAUAAAAACUCCAACUGCUCACCUGCUGCUGAACAUCCUCACGGACAAGCCGGCCAGCGAAGUGCACGUUCUCGGGCUGGUACUGAUGCUGCUGUCAUUCUGCAUCGAGCAUCUCACCUACCACAUCAAGAAUUGCAUCAUCAACCAGAACCUGCUGUGGCGGAUACUAGUCCUGAUAAAAAGCACCCUCAUGUUCCUGGAUCACCGUACUCAAGGACGACUUUUACGUAAGGCAAAUCGUCAAAUCGCUGUACUCGUACUUUGACGAGAGCUUUGGCAAGUAGUUCGACGACGUCCAGUACGUGCAGAUGUUCAAGACACUUAAGAACUAGUACGUCCAGCAGGACGACCGGCUCGAGAAGACGGAAAAGGGCGGCGUUUCCCUAGAGAGCAGUCCUAUUUUGUGGAACAGUAGCCGGUACCGGCACGACCGGCGACAACUCGACGAGGAGGAAAACUUUGCCAACUUUAACUGCAACAGAUUUUGAUCUUGCAUGCAGUGGUUGCAGUGGUUUUCAUUAAAAUGUUUUUCUAUUCCAGGCCAACUUUUUGCGACAUGCUACGCAAAAUUGCUAAAUCCACAAUCACGGUGGCCUCUACCGGUGAGAGCAACGACACCUCGAUCUUAAUUAAAAUCAGUAUCAAUCUCGGUGCAAAAAGAGUGAGAGUAAAAUUUAAUUAGAAUACAUUUUCUAGUGUUAACAUCACCAAGAAGAUUCUGAAAGCAUCGUCUGAAGAAAAUAUCAAAUAAUUGAUAAAAAUAAAAUAACCUUUAACACCAAUUACCAAAUGCUCCGCUGAAUAUAGAAUCCAAUGUAAAUAUCGGAUUCUAGAUUCAGCGGAGCAAAAUUUUUUUUUGCUUUUGGAAAUUUACAUUAGAUUCAUUGGAAAUUUACACGAUUUCAAAAGAUUUUCAAAUUGAACAAUUACAAUGAAAGUCAUGUAAAUUUCCAAUGAAUCUAAUGUAAAUAUACAUCACUUAUCAUGAUACCUUUUGGUACAUGAUAAAUAAUGUAAAUUUACAGGAAUAUUUUUUUCUGUGCACAGAAAAAAAUAUGUAAAUUUCCACGUCAUGUAAACUAUGUUUUAAAUGUAAACUUGGUACAUGUAAAAAUAAAAUCAUAUGUAAAAUGUUAAAUCAGAUGUAAAAGGCGAUCAUGUAAAAAUAUAUCGCAUGUAAUCUAUGAAUCAAAUGUAAAUGGAACAGUUUUUGCCAUUUAUUUACAAAUCUGAAACAUGUAAAUCUUGAAAGAAUGUAAAUAACAAUCAAUGUAAAUUUGAAAUAAAUGUAAAUUUUCAUUGCGACUGCCAAGUGACAGCUAAUCAAAAUAAAACAGUUCAAGUGUGUUGUUGUUAGGAAGCGGUCGUUCAAAAACAUCCAUAGAUUGAUUCGAUUUUAAAAUUAGAAUAUUUCGUGUCAAAUUUAGUCGUGUUUGUAACGAUAAGCGAAUUGGAAGCGGUGUCCAGGUGUAACAUCAGCGCAUCCACUCCAACGCGGAACCACUCAUUUUCUGCAAACUUAUUCCCAUCAGCUGGACUCUUCCGAAGCGGCCGUAAUCUUCAGUAUCAGCAUCUGAGUUCCACCGGUCAGCCAACCAACGCAGCGUACGCAAUUGGCCAUACCAACCUCGGGCAUCCGGAAGUCGACAUCGCAGAAUACGCUCGGAAGCAUCAAACUACUUUUUUCUCCAACCCGUUGUGCGCGUGCAAUUCGAACUUCGAGGUGAUUCUUCCGGGGCAAAUGGGGACAGUUUGAGGUUGUGCUAAUUUUCGCUCUACAUUCUUCCUCGAGUGCACAAAGCUAAAGAUGUCCGCAAUGUAAAAAAUCCAGCCGAAUCGAUUUCAUUAAUCUGGAACAUUCCGCAACUCCAAUGCCUUCUGGGCUCUCCAAAAACACCGGCUGAUCGGAGCAGGGAUGCUUGUCGUUGGGCCGCUUAAUUUCUGAUCACAAUUUCAAACUACUUUUGAUGUUUUUUAAUAUUUUUUGAAGAAAUCUACACAGCAAAAAAUUGUGUAAAAAUGGAAGCUUUAAAAUGGAAUGUUGAAAAAAGGAAUGUGUAAUUUUACAUCUGUUUUAGACGAAUUGCUGCUGAAAAUUGAGCCUAACACAUUUUACUCUUAAAAUGUUUAUUAUUUCGACGGAAGGUGCAAUUUUUAGUCGUUUAUGAUGCAAUAUUGCACACAAUAGUUUUCGCACCUCAACUUCGGAAGACAGCAAAUUUUACAACUGUCAAAAGUUGUUGUUGUGAAUGUUGCAGGAAGUUGCUGGUCUUCGCGUCCGGGUGUUUUUGCUGCUCCGGCGUGGCAGAUUCCGUCGCCGUCGUCUGCUUUUGAAGUGUGCGUGUGUGUCCGUGUCCGCUUCUUCUGGACCACUUGGAAAAAGUUGCCGGUGCGGUCCGAGAGUUUGUGCAGUUCGGGAAUCGUGGCAAAUUCCGUGGCCAUCGUCUUGAGCGUGUGUGUUUGUUUUUGUGCAGCAGCUGGUUUAGUUGGAGGAAGUUGCCGGUCGUCGCGUCCGGGAGUUUAGGACGCUCGGGAUCCGUGAGACAGAUUCCGUCGUGUGCGUGUGUGCGAAUGUUGGUGCUUCUUCUUGUCCAGUGGGAGGAAGUUGACGGUCGCUGCGUCCGGAAGUUUGUUUCGCGAUUCCGUCGUAAGCGUGUGUGUGAAUGUUGGUGCUUCUUCUGGACCACUUGGAGGAAGUUGCCGUCCGGGAGUUCGUGCCGCUCUGGAUUCGUGACAGAUUACGUCGUGUGCGAGUGUGCGAAUGUUGGUGCUUCUUCUAGUCAAGUUGGAGGAAGUUGCCGGUCGUCGCGUCCGGGAGUUUGGGACGCUCGAGCAAACAAUAAUCGUGGCAGAUUCCGCGGCCGUCGUCGUGUGCGUGUUUAUUCGUGUGUUUUGGUGCUUCUUCUGAUCCAGUUGGAGGAAGUUGCCGAUCGCCGCGCCCUGGAGUUCGAACCGUCCGGGAGUUAAGGACGCUCCGGCGUUCAACAUUCGUGGCAGAUUUCGUCGCCGUCGUUUGCGUUAGAAGUGGGUACGUGUGUGUGCGUGUUUUGGUGCUUCUCAGGACCACUUGGAGGAAGUUGCCAGUCGUCGCGUCCGGGAGUUUGGGACGCUUGGGCGUUCAACAUUCGUGGCAGAUUCCGUCGAUUGGCAUCACAACCGGUGACAACUCGACGAUCUUUCUGUCCACCAAAAAUCGAGGACAACGAGGACUUAGAUAAGUUUUUUUUUCUUUCGAACAUGACACUUUGUUAAAAAAUUUGUAAUUUUUCAGGUGAAUAUACCAAGUGUGAUGAUAUCUCAUGGAACUUGACUGCUGCUUGCAUCAUUUUGUUUUGGUAAGUAAUUUUCACUAUUUAGUUUUUGUUUUUUCUUCUUUUUAGUCACUUUACUGUUAUCUGGGUAAAUCGGGACCAAACAAUUCAAACAAAUAAUUCUCGCUUGCUUUCACGAAUUUUAGAAUUUUAGAAUUUUAAAAUUUUAGAAUUUUAGAAUUUUAGAAUUUUAGAAUUUUAGAAUUUUAGAAUUUUAGAAUUUU